UUUUUAAAAUAUGUAUUGUCAAUCAUAUUGUUUUUGUUGUUUGUACAUUGAAAAAAAUGUUUUUGUAAAUAUAUACACAUUUUCGAUAGGUUUACACUUUUCAAAAGUUCGACUUUGCUGAGUGAAAAAUUGAAAUGCAAUGCUAAUUUUAUUUUUUCAGAAUUAUGUACAUUUUUAGUAUAUUAGUAAAUUUUUAAGCAGUUAAUUUUUUAAAAGUCUGUUAGACAUACAAUAUAUAUUAUAUUACUUUAUUUUAUGGCCUUUAAUUUUUUUUUAAUGGUCAAAAUCCCAAUCUUCACCAGAAUUCAAUUCCCCAGUUUGGAAGCAAAGCACUUUACUACACAGCCCUCAUAAAACAAAGACAUAUAUUCAAAAGUUGUUUUGGAUAGCUACCAGAAAUAAAGCUUUUAAGGCAUGCAUCCUUUCUUGUACAUCCCCCUUGACCUGAUCCUUUUGGAGCUUUGCAAAUGUUGGUAAGAGGCACACAUACUCUACAUACAUAUACAAACUUGUGUGGACUCUUGUAGUCUAUAGACUGGUAUACAAGUCAGAAGUGUCUAGCUCGUAGGUAGAAUCUUCUUGAGUCACAGUUUCUAAGAUACUCCUCCUGUAGUCUAUAGACUAAAACAAGAUGCUGAGAGGAGUUUUUAUCACAUAAAGCGAUGACAUAGUUUUGAAUUUUUUCUGCAUAAUCGAUUUUAGAGUUUGUUUUUCAAUUUUUUGUUAAAAUAAAUACUUUGUUCAAGAUAUAAAUACAAAAUGUGAUGCCAAGUGCUGAGACAAUGAAUAGAUGCGUACAAAUAUGAAAUAUGAAGCCUGGUUAAAGACAUUAUGAAAGUAUAUUAUUAGAGUUAUUAGUCAUAUACUAUUUAUGUGAUUGUACUGACCUGUGUUGUAUUCAUUUUGAAGCAGAAUACAAAUGUAUAGGAACUAACAGAGUUCCUUGGGUUUAUUUGGAACAUUUGAAUGUUUGUGCUUUAAAAUGUUGUUUUUUUUAUAUCUAUGAGACUAGGUUUACUUAAUGUUUUAAGAGUUUUAUUACUUAACUAUAUGUUUAGUAAAGCUUGAUAGUACCACAAAAUGAUGUGAACAGCUGUAUAUAUAUAAAUAUAUAUAUAUAUAUAGAUAUAUAUUGUAUAUAUAUUGUACACUGAUAUACAGCUAGAACAUGCAUUAAAUUUUGUUUUAUUCUCAAUACAAUGUACAUUCUUACUUCUUUUUCAUGUUUCUUUCUCUCAUGAAUUUGAACAAAAGAAAGUGUUUGUUUUAUAGGUUGUGUCUGUAGUGAACAACUGUAUCUUAAGGAAUGCUCAAUUCUCUGACUUCUGUAAGCUCAAAGUUUUUCUUCAUUUCAUCUAUUGUCAUUUCUUUUUUUAAAUUGAGGACCAUUGUUUUAUAGCUCAUAUUAUAUGUAAAUAUAAAUAAUAUCAUACCUGAAAAUCAAGCUAUGUUCAUAAUGAACAGUAUGUUAAAGAUAUACACAAGUCUUUGAAUGUCAUCAAGUAUACAGACUUUCACUUGAUUUAGAGAGAAUCCAUCCAUUUUUGUUUUAUGCCAAUCAUAACUGACAGAGAUUGUUCAAUGAUUAAGUCAUAAGAUUUUUUACAAUCGUAAAGCUUUUUGAAAUUUGAAUGUAUACAAUUAUUUAGAUAUUUCAUGAGUGUGUCCUUUUUGUUGACUUGUCACAAUGUAAUUUAGACCACAAAAGGAAAAAAACACAAUUUGUUCUCUUUUUUUUUUUAAACUUUGAAACACAAACAAAUUUUGGGCAAUCAUUUUUAUUUUAACUAUUUAUUUUUAUUUCAAUAAUGAUAUUGUGUAAAUAUAUUUUUCAUUAAACAUAAAUAGUGUCAAAACCUGAGUACUAAAUCUAAGUAUGUAGUCAGUGGAACAAUGAAUUCAUUUUUUGAACCAAAAGUGAAUGUGGUCUUCAUAUGGACAUUUGUGUUAGAUGUGGUCUUCAUAUGAGCAUCUGUUUUAUAUGUGGUCUUCAUAUGAAUAUCUGUUAUGUGUGGUCUUCAUAU
This is a non-coding RNA of Biomphalaria pfeifferi, 2024 nucleotides long. The record is from the annotation of a GenBank genome assembly. NCBI's taxonomy places the organism in Eukaryota, Metazoa, Mollusca, Gastropoda, Planorbidae.